CCUAGUAGUCACGGUGGAAGCCCUCCAAGUUAUCAAAUAACAGUAUAUGCUCGUCGUUACGUAACUUGCUAUUAAUUGUAUGCUUGAGAAAAUAUACAGAAUAUUUUUAAAGUAAAAAGUUAUUAUUUAUAUAAAAUUUUAAUUUUAGUUAUAUAUAAUUGGAUAGUUUAAUUCAAUAUUUAUCUAUAUAAUUUAUUUAUUUUUGACUGCAUAAAUAAAAAUGAAUAAUUUGGAGAUUGAAGGCGGAAGCGAAGAUAUGUGAGCCUGAAAAGAUUAAGUAUUCAACUCAUAAAUUAUUUUUCUUCAUAUUAUAAUAUUAUAUUUUAUAGAAUUAUUUUGUACUUUGAACUAUUAGACGUAUUUUUGUAUCAAAUUAUAGAUAGUAUCCUAUAUAAAUUAAACUAUUGAUCGUAUGAUGUUGAAAAUUUCAAGCGGCUCGUUUAGGGCUCGAGCUCGCUCGACUCGAAAUUUGGCUUGCUCGAGCUCGGCUCGAAUUAAUUUCAAUCCAAGCUUGAGCUUAAAUUUAGGCUCGAAAUUAAUUUCAAGUCGAAUUUGAGCCAAGGUAAACUCGCUCGAGCUCGGCUCGUUUCCACCCCUACCCAUCACAAGCACCAUGUUUGUUUUAAAAAAUUAUAACAUGCUAUUAAUUAACUAGGGGUUUUUAAAAAAGACUCAGGUUAUAUAUUAUGAGUUCGACUAGUAUACUAUUAAUAAUAAAUAAAUAAUAUUUAACUGUUUAUUACAGUAGAUAAUAAGUUUAGGCAUCGAAGUAUUAAAAGAAUUUAUAGUUUGCACUUUUCACACACUAUUAAUAAUUUUUAAUGAAUUAUAACAUUCUAUUAACUUAGGAUUUUUUUUAAAAAAAAAAUUGUAUAUUUUAUUAUUCUAUUCGGCCAAUUUGCAUAAAAAAUCCACUGGUUUUGAGCUUUUGCAAAACCGGACAACCAUUUUCGUUUUUGCAGAUUCAAUCCACUUUUUCAAAAAGAUGACCAAACUACCCCUCUUUCAAAAUGCAUCGUUAAUAGUGCAACAUUCUCAUAAAGAGUGCAACAUAGUCUCAAAUAGUGCAACAUUCUCUUCCAAAUAGUGCAAUAUAUGCAUCGUUAAUACAUAUAUUGCAUGAUUUUUAUACAAAAUUACGAAUAAUAUAAUAUAUUACGUGAAAAUAACACGAAAAUAAUAUAAUAUAUUACAAUAUACUAUAAAAAUCAUGUAUUAUAUGUAUAAACGGUGAAUAUUUUACACUAUUUGUACAAAUAUUUACACCAUUUGCAUAGAUGUUGCACUAUUAUGAGAGAAUAUUGCACUAUUUAGAUAUUAUGUUGCACUCUUUCUUUUUAAAAAUUAAAAUGUAUUGUAUAUUAAAUAAAGUGUUAAAUUUCUUAGAAAUGAUAACUGCUAAGUCAUAAUUACAUGUACCUUUAUNUAAAUAAAAAUAAAUUAUGUAUAUAUAUAUAUAUAUAUAUAUAAUUUAUUCGGGUUUGGAUUCGGAUAAUAUUUCGAAUAUCCAUACAUAUUGACAUCUCUACUCCCUAUUCCUCUUUUCAAUAUACAAAAAAUACGUAUUAGACACGGUGAACCAUUCACUGUGUUCAAACACGUGAAUGGUUCACCGUAUUCAACUUAAUACACAGCCCUGGCCCUGCCCGCAUGGCGUUGACGUGACGCCUGCGUGGCCGGCCCAGAGCUAUUUUUGUAAAUUAAAUUUUGACAGAAUUAUUUUUAAAAUAAAAAUUUGCUAGGAGACUAAAUUCAAAAAAAGCCUUUGAUUACAACAUUGCACGGC
Molecule: long non-coding RNA, 1786 nt
Filed under: Ananas comosus (pineapple)
Lineage: Eukaryota; Viridiplantae; Streptophyta; Magnoliopsida; Poales; Bromeliaceae
Description: long non-coding RNA (ACOM_LNC033643)
Source: RNAcentral